Molecule: non-coding RNA, 1450 nt
Organism: Musa acuminata subsp. malaccensis (wild Malaysian banana)
Lineage: Eukaryota; Viridiplantae; Streptophyta; Magnoliopsida; Zingiberales; Musaceae
Source: RefSeq, a predicted model, not a curated record
CCCGCCGUCCUCAUCGAAACGGCGGCGACGAUGCAACCGGUGGCUGGAGUCGAUCCGCGGCGCACCCCGUCGCCCCAGCCUUGGACGGCGGUGCGGUACCCGGCACCGGCGAUGGUGAUGCAGCACCCUAUGAUGGCGCCACCGCCGCCGCCACCGCCAUACGGGCAUCCCUUCGUUCCCUACCCCCAUCCCCCGACGCCUCCGCCUCAGCCGCCGUCGAAAUCGAACCGCCACCAGCAGGGCGAGGAGGCGGCGGCGGAGGACGAGAAGCGGACGAUCUGGGUGGGGGACCUCCAGUACUGGAUGGACGAAAACUACCUCCUCGGCUGCUUCGUCCAUGCCGGUGAGGUUGUCUCCAUAAAGGUUAUUCGCAAUAAGCAGACUGGACAAUCAGAGGGUUAUGGGUUUGUUGAGUUCCACUCACAUGCAACGGCUGAAAAAAUACUUCAGAGCUUCAGCGGUCAUCUGAUGCCUAACACAGAUCUGCCAUUUCGGUUAAAUUGGGCACCAUUUAGCAUGGGAAAUAAGCGUUCAGGUCUUACUUUCGAUCACUCUAUUUUUGUAGGUGGUCUUGGACCUGAUGGUGCAUCAGCAACCGGCUCCCAGUCAGAUAUAGAUUCAGCUAAGACAACAGUAUUUGUUGGAGGGCUUGAUCCAGAAGUCAGUGAAGAUGAUCUGAAAGAAGCCUUUUCAUAGUAUGGAGAAAUCACCUCUGUUAAAAUUCCAGUUGGAAAACAAUGUGGUUUUGUUCUUUUUUCCCAUAGAAAUAAUGCUGAAGAAGCAUUGCAACAGUUAAAUGGUACAAUUAUUGGCAAGCAAAUAGUGCGUUUAUCCUGGGGUCACAACCCUGCUAGGCAGAGAUGAAGGAAGCAGAUUGGAGCAGCUCUUGAAAGGAAAACGUAUCCAGUACCAAGUGGCAUGAAGCUUCUUAUGAUUGGGAACAGCCAUGUCCGAGAACCAUAUAUAAAGCGUCAUCAUUUCCGCUGCCCAGACUUGAAGAUUCCAGCUGCUCUCAACUUGCUCUCUGCAGCCCUACUGACCACAUGAAACAAAGUGGGGUUGACGCUCCAGGCUUCAGCUCAUGGAGGUUGCCGGCUACCGAACCUCCGCAACUUUCAAGGAUCAUGCGUUCUUCGACUGCUCAUCUUGUUUGUGUUCUGCAGAUGCAUCGCUAGCCUUGUUGGGCACAGGCAGACAUGCUGAAUUAGCACAGGAUUGCAGUAUCAUCUAAGUGCAGACGAUCCUCAAGUUGAUCAGAACUUUUAUGAUUGUGAUGAGCUGAGCUUCUGAUUACCCCUGCUAGGUUUCUGUGUGAAGUAAUGAUAGAAAGAAAGAAGAACUUUUGUUUUCUUUUUCCUUUUGAUUUUUUGAUUUCUAAUAUUGCGUCAACAGUCCCUGUUCUUGUUUUAAGUUGGCGUUGGUGGCUGAUGGAGCCUCACUUUGUUGAACA